UACUCCAAAUUUCAUGAUUAAACUUUGACCAAUCUAGUUUAGAAUCAUCUAGAGGUCCUAAAUAUCUCAUUUACAAGAGAUUUAAUCCAAACUCUAGCUUAAAUCAUGAAAUCUCACUUUGACUACAUAGCCUUCCAAGCUAAAUCCACCAUUAGAGAGCUCCUUCAAGCUUCUUCUCCCCUUGAAGCUUCCAAAACCUCAAUUUCUCCUCCAACUAAUUCUCUUUGGUGGAGAGAUUACAAGAGAGGGAGAGAG
This 255-nucleotide long non-coding RNA is filed under the name Ananas comosus (pineapple). RNAcentral's name for it is "long non-coding RNA (ACOM_LNC040516)". Lineage: Eukaryota; Viridiplantae; Streptophyta; Magnoliopsida; Poales; Bromeliaceae. The record is from RNAcentral.